RNAcentral lists this long non-coding RNA (692 nucleotides) under Homo sapiens (human). Its description in RNAcentral is "HSALNT0309130". Lineage: Eukaryota; Metazoa; Chordata; Mammalia; Primates; Hominidae. The record is from RNAcentral.
UCAAUCAACAUAUAUAAAAUGAACAUUGAUUCAGUCCAGAAAGGCAGGACAACUCAAGCAAAAGCAGGAGAAUUCAAAGCAACUUGAAGCAACUCGAAGUAGGAAGAGGGCUUCCAGGUCACAGACUGUUUGACCUCUGGUAACUAAAACUGCAGAAGGCAAAACUGGAUAAGGAGACUACUGUAAUGAUUAUGCUAUUACAAGACGCUCGAUUGCUAACAUCAGACAUUUUUAUAAAAGGAAGUGAAGCUAUGAGAUCCACAAUGUGAAUGUCACCCAACCAGAGGUGUUACUUUGUGCCAUGUACAACAUACACAACCAUAGGCCAGAAUCCUGCUAGGACAUCUCUGCCUGUGGAAGGAGGGCUGGAUGGCAUACUGGGAAUGGCUUUCUAGGAUGACUUCCUGUUGCUACAGACUACAAGAAGCAUUUCUGGCCUUGAUGUUGUCUGAAUGAAGAAGACAUAGGAGUUUCACCAAAGCCUACAGGAAUGAGGAAGCAGGAAGGGCCAGAGUGAAGUGGAAACUUUGAACUUGAAGUUGGAAGACACUGGUACUCAUCUCUUCUAUUUGCUAGCUGUAUGAUCUUGGGCAACUUAUUUAAUUUAUCUUCCUCCAGUUUACUCAUUGAUUAAAUGAAGGUAACAAUUUUAUCUCAUAGGGAUAUGGGGAUGAUCGAGAGAGAUAAUAAAA